This is a long non-coding RNA of Zingiber officinale, 1069 nucleotides long. RefSeq lists it as uncharacterized. The transcript has 4 exons. The record is from RefSeq and is a predicted model, not a curated record. NCBI's taxonomy places the organism in Eukaryota, Viridiplantae, Streptophyta, Magnoliopsida, Zingiberales, Zingiberaceae.
CGUCCCUAUUCCUCCUUAAUCGCUGAACCCUUCCUCACCUUAUCUCGUCGCCGCCCCGAUUCUUCCUCCUCUAUCGCGUCGUUUAUUCUAUGCUCUUCUUCUUCUCCUCAUCUUCUCCAACCGGCGCCCCUUUCUCUUCUUCUGCGUCAUCUUCCCUCCUCUGUCGUUGUCUCCUCGUCGCAAAGGUCCUCACCGCGCCGAUUAUCAUGAGAGCACCGCCGGCAGUAGUCCUUCUCUCCGCGAGCCUCACCAACACCAAGCUCUCUGAGCUAUCAGGCAGCCUGAUCCUCUUCUACUUUUUCCCCUUGCGUCUUACCCUAGAUGCAACCGGCGGCAUCGCAUCCAACCACAGUACCUGUAAUUUUGGGUGGCUAGCGUCGCCGCCAUCUCUUUCACCGGCUACCACUUCUUCCUCUUCCAUUUGCCACCGUUGGAGAGCUGAGUACACAUGAGAGUAGGGUUGUUCUUCCGCGUAUCAGUAGUUGCGAGGGGUUACCACGUGUUGCCCCCUUCAAUUGUGUCAUGGCCAUCCGGUCAGCCACAAGGAGAUCCAUUAUUGCGGUGACCUCAUUUGUGCUUGGAUUUGUGACACUGUCGUGUAUCAGUGAAUUCUGAGGCGGUGAGGGCUGUUGGACAGAUUUACCAUCGUCGGAAGAACCACAAACUACUAAUAAGGUAUCAUGCAGGAUACCAAGAGCAAACGUUGCAUUAGCCACAACAACCAAGAGCAAAUGUUGGAUUCAAAACCAUCUUUUAAUCUUUUUCUUGAUUUUCUCAACAAAAUUGGUUGGUUCAUUAAUUUGUACAAGAGAAGCAAUUUAUCUCAUGAAAUUCGAAGACAGGGAGGGCAAAAAGAAGAAAUUGAAGGCAUGCAUGCUAUUAGCUCGAGGAUGGAGGAACAAAUUAUUGAAAGGGAAAAAACUUGUUAUUAUAGAAAGUAGGCAGAGGGAAGAAAAUAUCAAGGAGAUGAUUCGGAAAUGAUUCAAGAAAUGAAAUAUACAAAUCAUUUAUAUCUAGGAAAAUUUGGUCUUUAUAGUUUGAUUAUUGGUCAAAUUUGUUUGGAUAAUGU